AGUGACUCAGCGUUUUUUUCGGAUAUCUACUUCCUCUUCUAUCGGACUUUUGCUGAUGAGCCUCGCUGCGUUGACCCUCCCCCACCUGACAGGAUGCAAAGUCUGGCCUCUCAGCAGAUAAUGUGACGCACACGUGUGCGAGCGGAAGACGGGGGGGGACCUGCCGACCACAAAGGGUCCGCUCCUGGAUGCCCGUGCUAUGAUAACACGAGGAAGCCAGGGGAGGAAGACGUGUCUGCGGCCGCUUGGCGGGUCUGUGUGCCGCUGAGAGUCACAAUUAUCUCUCAGAGGGUGACACCCGGGACUCUGACACGGCGGCCACGGGUAGCAGGGUGAUUGGACUUUUUACCGGUUUUCAUCACAGGGCAAAGCACUUUAAAAGUGUCCAGCUGUGAAUACUCUAAUUGUUGUAAAUUGGCACCGAAGAGGUGACACAAAGUGUGGCCGAGGUAAAAAAAAUACUCUUAUAAAAACAUUCCUGAUGCUCAAAAUAAAUGUCCAGAUCCCCUCAUAUAUUUCGGCGCAAGCACAUGUGUACAUUGAACCUACAAUCUGUGCACUCUUAGAACAGAGUAAUCGUUCUAUACUCAGAGGACUACGAGACAUAGGUGUUUUUUUUUUUUGGUGCGUUCAAGAACCGCAGAACCGAGUAGGACACCACAACGCUUGCCAGAAAUGGAUAAAAAAUAAUAAUAUUAGAUUUUUUUGUCAUGCACUUUUCAUUUAAAUCAAUCUUAAAAAGGCCUUGGUGUCCUCAUGUGUGGGCAGCACCUUUUUAGCUCUUAUUUCCAAAAUUGUGUACACUACUAAAUAUGCCAACAUAUGGACACUUAUACUGCUAUCUGGUGGUGUCAGAAGAGUAUAACAUACAAUGGAAUUUGGAAAAAUAGUGUGAAAAUAAAAAUUAGCAUGUCACUACA
Nerophis ophidion (straightnose pipefish) is the source of this 920-nucleotide long non-coding RNA. RefSeq lists it as uncharacterized. The transcript is spliced from 2 exons. NCBI's taxonomy places the organism in Eukaryota, Metazoa, Chordata, Actinopteri, Syngnathiformes, Syngnathidae. The record is from RefSeq and is a predicted model, not a curated record.